GAUCCUGGCUCAGGACGACGCUGGCGGCGCGCCUAACACAUGCAAGUCGAACGAGCGAGAGAGAGUUACUUUUUCGAGCGAGUGGCGAACGGGUGAGUAACGCGUGAGGAACCUGCCUCAAAGAGGGGGACAACAGUUGGAAACGACUGCUAAUACCGCAUAAGCCCACAGCUCGGCAUCGAGCAGAGGGAAAAGGAGCAAUCCGCUUUGAGAUGGCCUCGCGUCCGAUUAGCUAGUUGGUGAGGUAACGGCCCACCAAGGCGACGAUCGGUAGCCGGACUGAGAGGUUGAACGGCCACAUUGGGACUGAGACACGGCCCAGACUCCUACGGGAGGCAGCAGUGGGGAAUAUUGCACAAUGGGGGAAACCCUGAUGCAGCGACGCCGCGUGGAGGAAGAAGGUCUUCGGAUUGUAAACUCCUGUUGUUGAGGAAGAUAAUGACGGUACUCAACAAGGAAGUGACGGCUAACUACGUG
This 477-nucleotide ribosomal RNA is filed under the name uncultured bacterium. Its description in RNAcentral is "bacterial SSU rRNA". It matches the Rfam family "Bacterial small subunit ribosomal RNA", at positions 15 to 507 of the family's 1533-position model. The record is from RNAcentral.